This 395-nucleotide ribosomal RNA is filed under the name uncultured bacterium. RNAcentral's name for it is "partial 16S ribosomal RNA". It matches the Rfam family "Bacterial small subunit ribosomal RNA", at positions 338 to 730 of the family's 1533-position model. The record is from RNAcentral.
CCUACGGGUGGCAGCAGUGAGGAAUAUUGGUCAAUGGGCGGGAGCCUGAACCAGCCAAGCCGCGUGAGGGAAGAAGGUACAGCGUAUCGUAAACCUCUUUUGUCAGGGAACAAAGGCGGGGACUAGUCCCCGGAUGAGGGUACCUGAAGAAAAAGCAUCGGCUAACUCCGUGCCAGCAGCCGCGGUAAUACGGAGGAUGCGAGCGUUAUCCGGAUUUAUUGGGUUUAAAGGGUGCGCAGGCGGGCUGUUAAGUUAGAGGUUAAAGCCCGGGGCUUAACCCCGGCAGGGCCGUUGAUACUGGCGGGCUGGAGUUGGGUAGAGGUACGCGGAAUGCGCGGUGUAGCGGUGAAAUGCUUAGAGAUCGCGCAGAACCCCGAUUGCGAAGGCAGCGUACC